GGCACUAUAGCCAAGUGGUUAAGGCGAUGCACUCGAAUUGCCGACAAUUGGUGAGUUGGUAUGCAUUCCACUUUGUGGGCGCAGGUUCAAAUCCUGCUGGUGUCG
This 105-nucleotide transfer RNA is filed under the name Ephemerocybe angulata. RNAcentral's name for it is "Coprinellus angulatus tRNA". It matches the Rfam family "tRNA". From Rfam's summary of the family: Transfer RNA (tRNA) molecules are approximately 80 nucleotides in length. Their secondary structure includes four short double-helical elements and three loops (D, anti-codon, and T loops). The record is from Rfam by way of RNAcentral. Lineage: Eukaryota; Fungi; Basidiomycota; Agaricomycetes; Agaricales; Psathyrellaceae.